UCUCCCACCGCGCAUGCGCCCGGCACUGUCUGGGCUCCGCCCCGUCGCCUGUUCGCAGCGCUGUUUGGCAAGCCUCAAACGUGGCGGAAGUGACUCCUGCUCGGCCUCCUGCGCCCACUCAGCCGCCCCCGGCAAGCUCCUCAUUCCUAGACCUGCCCUCGUGGUUUCAUUCAUUCGCUUCGUGCUUCCCUCUCUCGCCUGGACUGCUGUUGCAAGAGUGAUCUUGGCCACAAUAGAGGCUGACUGUGCAAGAAUACUUCCCCAGCUGGUGCCCUGAUGGCGAAAGGCGCCCUUCUCUCCUCCAAGAAAAGAGAAACAGUUUCCUGCACAGACGUCAUGCGAUGCAAGUUUCCCUGAAUCUGCUGAAUGGAUCUGUUUGACCCUGAUAAUACUACAGUUAUCUCUUUCAUGGGUUUAUUUCUUACAUCUGUCAAAUGCUUCAUAAAAUAGAUAUCUCUUGCUGUUGUUCUAUACCUUCAAAUAAUAUGGCAACCCUGAAGUGAACCUAUCACUGGGUUUCCUUGGAAGUGUUUGUUCAGAGGGGUUUUUCCAUAGCUUUCUUCUGAGGCCAAGAGAAUGUGAUUCACCAAAGCUACCCAGUGAGUUUUCAAGGGUGAGCAAAGACUCAAACUCUGAUCUCCCAUAGUCUGCAACCAACACUCAAAUCAGUGCACCGCAUAAAGCCAAUAGAUGGUACUGACACAGCAUAAAAUGCAGAGCAGAAGGUAAAACAAUCUGCAUCUCCUGGUACAAGAGUUAAAUGUAAAGUGCAAGGACCUAGUUAAAGUUUUUAGCUGCUAAAAUACAUAAAUGCCUGACAGAACAGAAGAAUCUAACACCAUACAAUUAUAGCACUAUGGUUCCACUUUAACUGCUAUGGCAACAUCCUAUAGAAUCCUGAGAUUUGUGGUCUGGAGAUGCCCUACUUCUCUCUGAACUGAAACUCCCAGCAUUUCUACAGAAGGAACAAUUGCAAUCACAGCAACCCAGCUGCAGUUAAAAUGUCACCAUAUUACUGUAAUUAUGUGGUGUGAAAGGACUCUUUGAGCUGGUGCUUAAAAGAGCAGGAAUGUGGGCAUUAGUUAAGCAUUACCAGAUAAAGCAUUCCAGAGCUAUUUGGUGAACCCAUUCCCCCCCAGGCCCUUAUUCUACUUUGGCAUGGACAUGCCCCUGGGAAAGUUUUGUUUCACCAUACCAAAGGAAAUGGCAAACAUAAAGAGACAUUGCAGCUGAUCUUAAAGGAUGGGCAGAUUCAAAUAGGAGGAGGCAUCCUUGUUUCACGCUGUUAAAUUCCGUUUGCUUUGCCUUGACUAGGUGAUAUAUAAGGUUGUGCAUUUGCAAGCUCUGGGUGGUGAAAUGGGACCAUUUAGUAUCUUAAGAACAGAUUUAAUGAUAGCAAUAGCAGGAGAUUUAAGGAGACCUUCAAAAGACAAGUUGGGCAUCUCCCAUGACAGGGAGAUCCGUUUGGGCUGAAAGAAGCUCCCACUUAUCUGGUGAUUUGAGCACCACUAUGCUGCCAAACAGACAUUCACCGCCACUUUUAUUUUACUUUGCUACUAGCCAUAUAUCUGGUUGAUGGCGCUGUCAAUAAGAUGCUUUAAUGCCUAAGGAUUACAGGUGCAGGAUUGUAAAGUGAUGAGCUGGAGUACUAAAAGAAAGCAAUUCCCCUGCAUGGAAAGUUACAGCAGUUCUCAGCUGGUUUGACCUGUAGUUAAAAUGAAUCUGACAAACAGGGUUUCUUAUUUAGAUACUUCUAGUUUUAUUCCAAUGUUCUCUUUUUGCUGGGCAACAAACCAGCCGCUUCUAGUAAUAAAAAAGAUUAUUUUUAAAAGGAAAUCUCUCGGGGAAUGAGGAGCCCAUUUUUUGAAAUACCAAACAUCAAAAUUGACUUUGAUUAUUUCAGGUAUUUACUUGCACUGUACAAUCAUAUAUUGCCUAGUGCAUUAUGAUAGCCUAUAUACAGCAGCACGGAAAACAGACAAGAUCAUUCAUGACUGCAAACUUUGGUUGAAAGUAAAAGAUUUAAAUCAGGGUGAUGCAUGUGUGGCUCUCUAUGUUAUAAGACUUCAACUAUCAUCAGCAUAGGCAGUGGUGAGGGAUAAUGGGAAUUUUAGUUCAACAACCCUUGGGGGCAUACAUUCUACAUGUCUGGCAGAAGAGGAACUUGCUUUUAUGAUGUGUUAGGAAUGGAUGUAGGGCCCCUGGUGGCACAGUGUGUUAAAGCGCUGAGCUGCUGAACUUGCGGACAAAAAGGUCCCAGGUUCAAAUCCCGGGAGCGGAAUGAGCACCCGCUGUUAGCCUCAGCUCCUGCCAACCUAGCAGUUCGAAAACAUGCAAAUGUGAGUAGAUCAAUAGGUACUGCUCCGGCGGGAAGGUAACGGCGCUCCAUGCAGUCAUGCUGGCCAUAUGACCUUGGAGGUGUCUAUGGACAACGCCGGCUCUUCGGCUUAGAAAUGAGCACCAAUCCUCAGAGUCAGUCACGACUGGACUUAACAUCAGGGCAAACCUUUUCCUUUUUCUAUUAGGAAUGGAUGUAAAUUGUAAAGCUCCGCACUAAACCCUUAUCUGCUAAUCAUUUACUGCUACAUGUCAAACUUUUUCCACAUAUAGAUCAUAUUGAGGUGCACUGCUUUCAUACGUCUCAAUUAAUAGGCGAACCAAAUUUAAUAUAGACUGAAUUUGGUUUUUAGCAGCAACCCCCCACCCCCAUUAUAGCCAUCUUAGGACAUGUCAUAGGCAAGUGUGUACUGUGGUAGAUACUUUUAAGAUACUCUUCUUUAGUAAACUGGCACAUCUAGCGGGAGCAUACAGUUUUUAUGUACAGGCAGUAUUAAUGUCAGGCUAUAUGACAGUUCAUUCCUAUAGAUAGUGGCUUCCAGUUAAGGCAGCAUUUCUCAACCUAGGGGUCAGGACCCCGGGGAAGAGGGUCGCGAGGGGGUGUCAAAGAGGUUUCCAAAGACCAUCAGAAAACACAUAUUUCUGAUGGUCUUAGGAAACCCUUUGGCAAAGAAGGCUGAAUAUCUCUUCGCCUGUCCUUCACUUUCUUUUUGGGAACAGACAGCGCAUCCUCCCACCAAAAGCCCAAUUUGCCCAAUUCUAUCAUUGAUGGGUUUCAAGGGGCUCUUUGAUUGCAGGUGAGCUAUAAAUCCUAGCAACUACAACUCCUAGAUGUCAAAAUCUAUUUUCCCCAAACUCCACCAGUGUUCACAUUUGGGUAUACUGAGUAUUUGUGCCAAGUUUGGUCCAGAUCCAUCAUUGUCCACAGUGCUCUCUGGAUGUAGGUGAACUACAACUCCAAAACUCAAGGUCAAUGCCCACCAAACCCUUCCAGUAUUUUCUGUUGGUCAUGGGAGUUCCGUGUGCCAAGUUUGGUUCAAUUCUAUCGCUUUUGGAGUUCUGAAUGCUUUUUUAUUGUAGGUGAACUAUAACUCCCAAACCACAAAAUCAACCCCCAACCCCACCAGUAUUCACAUUGGAGCGUAUUGGGUAUUUGUGCCAGAUUUGAUCCAGUGAAUGAAAAUAUAUCUUGUAUAUCAGAUAUUUACAUUACAAUUCAUAACAAUAGCAAAAAUACAGUUAUUAAGUAGCAACAAAAUAAUUUUAUGGUUGGGGGUCAUCACAACAUGAGGAACUGUAUUAAGGGGUUGAGGCAUUAGGAAGGUUGAGAACCAUUGAGUUAAGGUCUGCGCCAGACCAGGAUCAUACAGAGGCAGAACAGCCAUCUCUGCCUAAAUUAUGAUUUGCCCAAUUACAUAGAACCUCUAUUUAAAUUGACUUCAAAAAUCUGUACAGAGCCUUCAUGUAAGCACACCAGCUAGCAUACUGGAUAGCUUUUCACAGCUCCCUGUGGACUAGCUUUUAAAAAACAUCUAAGCGUGAAGCUUGUGCAUAUGACCAAUAUUGCCCAAAGACUGUGCUGGUCUCCAUGGUUGUCAAUGCCUGUGUAAAAUGGACUAUAGGUGACACAUCUGUAGUAUUGCCAAACAACUAUCAUAGCCUGAGUACUUCUUCCUGUUAAGCUUCCUGUGUUGUUCUUAGAUCCACUGUGAAGCAAAACUCUGGAAUUGACCUUAGGGUUUGAAAAUGGACUCAGAAACGAGUUUUCCUCUGUGGAUCAUUGUGGACAAGUUGCAUUUUAAGGACUCAUUUCCUCAGUCCACUUCGAAUUGUCUCAGGAUUUCUAGGAAGUUGUUAUCAAUCUCAAAACAUGUGCAAUACAGUAUUUGUCACUGUCAAUAGUACACAUGAGUAAUGUAAUUAUUAGGCUUGAGAUGAAGAAGAACUCUACUGAUUAUGAAUUUGUUUUUGUUCUUUGAGGCUAAAAUGGUUGGGAGGCCCAUUCUUGUCAUUGACUGGAGUGAUAGUGUUCUUUGCUGUUGCUUCCACCCUAAUGCUGGACACAGGAAACCCAGCAGCCUACACAAACACCCAGGUUGCUCUUACGUCAGUACCAACAUACCAAGAGAAAACAAUACAAAGGAAGCAUUUUGUCUUAGACUAUUAAUUUUUAAAAGGGUAUUUUAGAUUCACCUCUUUGUUGUUGGUGGCUGCAUGGCAGAUUUAUAGAUGGAAAGGUUAGGUAAAUAUUUUGAUAAUGUGUUUGCAAAAUGCACUGCACAUAUUGAUAUACUGAUCAUUGUUUCGCCUUGUUCCAUUAUUCAAGAAACACAAUCCAAUGAUGUACAAUUAAAAGUUAAUCUCACCUCAGCAUCUAUCCACCUGUUUGCUGGCUAGCUUUACACAUUGCCAUGUCUCUCGUCUGUACCUUUCAUGUGGGAUCAAAAGCCCUGUGGAAACAAGGGACCGCCAGCUGCACAGGUGGUAUGAGUGAGUAGAGAAACACAGCAGCCAUUGCCGCAGAAGGGGAGGUCCCACAACUAGCAGGGGCUUGCAUCUGGGCUGGAGGGAAGCAGGUGGCUUGCUUCUUGCUCCCCUUCCUCCUGGGACAUCAGAAGGGGACGAAUAUAGCACAGAAGGCUCAUGCCCUUGGACACAACAUGACCCUAUUAACCAGGUGCAGUUGCUCUGUCCAGAGGAACCUAUCAACAGGGUUGUCAACUGUGUGGAUCUAGUGCUGUGAUUUUAGCUUUGAGUGUGUUUUUAAUCAUUUUUAUGGAUUUUAACUGAAUUUUUUAAUAGCAUUGAUAUUUAAUUCUAGUUUAAUGUUUGUAUAUUUGUGGAUUUUAAAUUGUAUUGAAAUGCUUUUAAUGUAAGCUGCUUUGAGUCUCCUUUGUGGAGAGAAAUAGCAGGGUAUAAAUAAACAUAGUAAUAAUAAACAA
Molecule: long non-coding RNA, 5279 nt
Organism: Anolis carolinensis (green anole)
Lineage: Eukaryota; Metazoa; Chordata; Lepidosauria; Squamata; Anolidae
Exons: 2
Source: RefSeq, a predicted model, not a curated record